AAUUAAAUAGAGAUAUACAAUGUUCUUGUAUCAGAAAGCUCCUUAUUGCUGAGAUGUCAGUUCCCCCUAAAUUGAUCUAUAGAUUCAAUACAAUCCCAAUCAAAACCCAACAGGGUUGGGAAUUGACUGGGAAGGAGCACAUGACUCAGGCUGAUAGAACUGGUCUAUAUCUAGACUGUGGUGGUGAUUAUGUGGACACAUUACAAGAUGACUUACUUUGUCAAAACUCAUCAAACUGUACACUUUAAAAUAGGAGUCCCCAACCCCU
This 268-nucleotide long non-coding RNA is filed under the name Pan troglodytes (chimpanzee). RNAcentral's name for it is "long non-coding RNA NONPTRT013536". The record is from RNAcentral. Lineage: Eukaryota; Metazoa; Chordata; Mammalia; Primates; Hominidae.